RNAcentral lists this ribosomal RNA (468 nucleotides) under uncultured bacterium. Its description in RNAcentral is "partial 16S ribosomal RNA". It matches the Rfam family "Bacterial small subunit ribosomal RNA", at positions 28 to 507 of the family's 1533-position model. The record is from RNAcentral.
GACGAACGCUGGCGGCGCGCUUAACACAUGCAAGUCGAACGGAAAGGCCCUGCUUUUGUGGGGUGCUCGAGUGGCGAACGGGUGAGUAACACGUGAGUAACCUGCCCUUGACUUUGGGAUAACUUCAGGAAACUGGGGCUAAUACCGGAUAGGAGCUCCUGCUGCAUGGUGGGGGUUGGAAAGUUUCGGCGGUUGGGGAUGGACUCGCGGCUUAUCAGCUUGUUGGUGGGGUAGUGGCUUACCAAGGCUUUGACGGGUAGCCGGCCUGAGAGGGUGACCGGCCACAUUGGGACUGAGAUACGGCCCAGACUCCUACGGGAGGCAGCAGUGGGGAAUUUUGCACAAUGGGCGGAAGCCUGAUGCAGCAACGCCGCGUGCGGGAUGACGGCCUUCGGGUUGUAAACCGCUUUCGCCUGUGACGAAGCGUGAGUGACGGUAAUGGGUAAAGAAGCACCGGCUAACUACGUG